This 218-nucleotide unclassified non-coding RNA is filed under the name uncultured Tomentella. Its description in RNAcentral is "sequence contains ITS2". Lineage: Eukaryota; Fungi; Basidiomycota; Agaricomycetes; Thelephorales; Thelephoraceae. The record is from RNAcentral.
ACACCUCAACUCUCACAGUUUGCUGUGAAGAGCUUGGACUUUGGGGGUUUUGCUGGCCUGAGGUCGGCUCCUCUCAAAUGAAUCAGCUUGCCAGUGUUUGGUGGCAUCACAGGUGUGAUAACUAUCUACGCUUGUGGUUGUCUGCCAGGUGACCUUCAGUGAUGGAGGUCCGCUGGAGCUUACAAAUGUCUUCCCUGAGCGAAGACGGUUUUUCGAAC